UUGAAUAACUAUGGUGUUGGUUGUAGCUGGCUUCUAGGAGCAUGUGCACGCCCGCCAUUUUUAUCUUUCCACCUGUGCACUCAAUGUAGGCCUGGAUAACUCUUGCUUUUGAGCGGAUACAAGGAUUGCUUUCGAGCUCUCUUUGAAUUUCCAGGUCUAUGUCCCUUUACACACCCCAAUCGUAUAACGAAGAAUGCAGUCAAUGGGCUUCUAUGCCUAUAAAUCAAAAUA
Molecule: unclassified non-coding RNA, 231 nt
Filed under: soil metagenome
Description: partial internal transcribed spacer 1
Source: RNAcentral